This 203-nucleotide ribosomal RNA is filed under the name uncultured bacterium. Its description in RNAcentral is "partial 16S ribosomal RNA". It matches the Rfam family "Bacterial small subunit ribosomal RNA", at positions 1290 to 1500 of the family's 1533-position model. The record is from RNAcentral.
AGUUCGGAUCGGAGUCUGCAACUCGACUCCGUGAAGCUGGAUUCGCUAGUAAUCGCGCAUCAGCCAUGGCGCGGUGAAUACGUUCCCGGGCCUUGUACACACCGCCCGUCAAGCCAUGGGAGCCGGGGGUACCUGAAGUCCGUAACCGCGAGGAUCGGCCUAGGGUAAAACUGGUGACUGGGGCUAAGUCGUAACAAGGUAGC